UCAACCAUGACCUUCAUCUCCAUCUUCAUCUGCACACUGGCUCUCUGCACUCAAGGAUCCAGAGGUCAGGUGACUGUGACUCAUAGUCCUGCAGUAAAACAUGUUGAUCCAGGAGCUUCAGUCACCAUCAACUGUAAAACCAGUUCUGCUAUUAAUUGCCAGAGUGGUGAUGGAGAUAAAUGUUUAGCCUGGUAUCAGCAGAAACCUGCAGAAGCUCCUAAACUCCUGAUCUACUUGACUAAGAGAAGAGCAUCAGGUAUUCCAGAUCGUUUCAGUGGCAGUGGAUCUGGAUCUGACUUCACUCUGACCAUCAGUAGAAUUGAGACUGGAGAUGCAGGAGAUUAUUACUGUCAGAGUUACCAUAGUGGUAACAUCUUCACACAGUGUUAUAUGGUGGUACAAAAACCUGGGUGA
Non-coding RNA from Trichomycterus rosablanca, 414 nucleotides. NCBI's taxonomy places the organism in Eukaryota, Metazoa, Chordata, Actinopteri, Siluriformes, Trichomycteridae. The record is from the annotation of a RefSeq genome assembly.